GCUCAGCCCUUAACAUAGACAAUACAAACACAAUAUUGUCCGCCAGAGAACUACAAGUGAAAAACUAGAAACUCCAAGGACUUGGCGGUGCCCCACAUCAACCUAGAGGAGCCUGUCCUAUAAUCGAUAAUCCACGCUGUACCCAACCAUUUCUCGCAAUUCAGCCUAUAUACCGCCGUCGAAAGCCUACCUUAUGAAAGAAACAAAGUAAGCAAAAUAGUCAAUAACUAAAACGUCAGGUCAAGGUGUAGCAUAUGAAAUGGAAGAGAUGGGCUACAUUUUCUACCUCAGAAAACACGAACAGCACAAUGAAACAUGUACUCAAAGGCGGAUUUAGCAGUAAGACAAAAAAGAAACUUUGCCUAAAACCUGCU
This 374-nucleotide ribosomal RNA is filed under the name Copeoglossum nigropunctatum. RNAcentral's name for it is "partial 12S ribosomal RNA". It matches the Rfam family "Bacterial small subunit ribosomal RNA", at positions 794 to 1374 of the family's 1533-position model. Lineage: Eukaryota; Metazoa; Chordata; Lepidosauria; Squamata; Scincidae. The record is from RNAcentral.